Hydra vulgaris (swiftwater hydra) is the source of this 1388-nucleotide non-coding RNA. NCBI's taxonomy places the organism in Eukaryota, Metazoa, Cnidaria, Hydrozoa, Anthoathecata, Hydridae. The record is from RefSeq and is a predicted model, not a curated record.
AAAAGAUACCAUCACGCCGCACAAUUUUACUCUCAGAUUGAGAUUAUCAUGAGCAAAGAACGACUGUUGAAGAAACCUAGGUUUUUCAUUACGGAUUUUUUGAUUAAAAAACCUCCUAUUUGUUUCGAUGAUACACUUUGUGCUUCUGUAGCUUUCCCCGUAUUUGAUUGCAGUAUUAAUAAACCUUUUGAACCAACCGACGUCCUCUCGCAAUCUCUUACUUGUACUCCUGUUCAAACGAUGUUAACAGAAACCGAUAACGAGGCAUGCAAAGAUAAUUCUCAUCCAGACAGUAAUGAUAUUGCUUGUGUUUUUUCGGGUGACGUAAGAAAUAAUGAAUAUGUGAUAAAACUCAAUGAUUUAGAAAAAAAGAAAUUGAUGACUGAAUAUUGAAUGCCGGAUUCUUCUUUUAAAUAUCCAUAUACAAUGAAGGGUGGGAAGAACCCACAGAAGGUAUACCUUGGUCUCCAACACUUAUUUGGUGGAAGUUAUUCCAGCUUUAAAUUUUCUCCAUCUUUGAAUGGUCUUCUUUGUGUCACUUGUGUUUUUUUUUGCCGAUGAAAUAAGUGGAAAUUUUGCAAAACUGGCACAAUUAGUUAAUAAACCGCUUAGAAAAUAAAGUCAUUUGACAGGAAGUGAUGGACAAUCGACUAACCAUUUAAGCAACCAAUAUCACAAAAAUUCUGUUGUGUUUGGUGAUGAUUUUUUACUAUCAAUGAAUUCAGGUACAAAUAUAAAAAUUAUGCUAAAUGAAAAGUACAAAGCGGAGGUAAAAGAAUUACGCGAACGUUCAGUGAUUCAAUCUAUGGAUGCGCGGUUUUCAAACCACCAGCAACUAGUUAUGAAAAUGUCUGCUCUGUUACCAUCAGUGAUUUCUCAACAUAGUUGGACUGAUAUGGUUGAAACUGUAGGAAUGUUUUCUUCUGUAAUUGGGUAUCGAGACAAGGAAACUAUUCAUAAUGAAUAUUUGGAUAGGAAAGAAUUUUGAUCGUAUAUGCAAAGCCAUCCUUCAACUUUAUUAGCAGCUUUUGACCUAAUUUCUGAUAGAUUGGCAACCACCAAAACACUUCUUUGGAUUUUUUGUGCCAUUCCAAUCACAACAUGUACAGCUGAACGGAGCUUUGGCGCCAUGAAUAUCUUAAAAAGUCCUUUGCGUAACCGUACCAAUGAUGAGCGUUUAACUGGCUUGGUAUUAUUAUAUAUUUAUAUUACCAUACCUUUAGAAAUAAACGACGUUAUUGAUAGAUUUGCAGCAAGUAAGAAGAGACGCUUAGAUUUUGCAUUUUAGAUUUUGUACUUAAUUUAUUUAUUAAACAAAAACCCUAUUAGUCUAAAAAAAAAAGUUAUAUUAUUCCCGAGGAAAUGUAACUAUCUAUAUAAGAAACUAA